Molecule: ribosomal RNA, 449 nt
Filed under: uncultured bacterium
Lineage: Bacteria
Description: bacterial SSU rRNA
Rfam family: Bacterial small subunit ribosomal RNA
Source: RNAcentral
UGGGGAAUCUUGCGCAAUGCGCGAAAGCGUGACGCAGCAACGCCGCGUGGGGGAAGAAGGCCUUCGGGUUGUAAACCUCUUUCAGUUGGGACGAAGGUUGGGCGGUGAAUAGCCGUUCUGACUGACGGUACCUUCAGAAGAAGCCCCGGCUAACUACGUGCCAGCAGCCGCGGUAAUACGUAGGGGGCAAGCGUUGUCCGGAAUCAUUGGGCGUAAAGCGCGUGUAGGCGGCUCGAUAAGUCCGUUCUGAAAGUCCAGGGCUCAACCCUGGGAUGCGGAUGGAUACUGUCGGGCUCGAGUCCGGAAGAGGCGAGUGGAAUUCCCGGUGUAGCGGUGAAAUGCGCAGAUAUCGGGAGGAACACCAAUGGCGAAGGCAGCUCGCUGGGACGUGACUGACGCUGAGACGCGAAAGCGUGGGGAGCAAACAGGAUUAGAUACCCGUGUAGUCC